AGAUUAAUACAGAGACCCAUAGCUAAUCAACAUUCAGAGAAUAAGAGAUAAUGGACUUCUCCCUUUAAAAUAGGAUAUUUCUUAUACACCCUUGCCAUAAAGUAUCAUGAAGCAUCAUGGAAGAGGGAGAGAAAAAAUUGUAAGAUAGGAGGCUGUAAAGAUAUAUAAUGAAUGUGUACUUUAUAGACAGAAGUUCCUUUGCACACAUGAACUCAGAGACUGACUGUACAAGACCUGCACAGGAUCAAGCUAACUCAAAUUAUAACAGCAUAUAAUUGGACCUAGAGCUUCAUUACUGCCAAGCCAACUCUGUACACUGAGUUAAAUGCCUCAACUACUUCCUCCACAAA
Mastomys coucha (southern multimammate mouse) is the source of this 350-nucleotide long non-coding RNA. RefSeq lists it as uncharacterized. The record is from RefSeq and is a predicted model, not a curated record. Lineage: Eukaryota; Metazoa; Chordata; Mammalia; Rodentia; Muridae. The transcript has 2 exons.